RNAcentral lists this unclassified non-coding RNA (256 nucleotides) under Nassella megapotamia. Its description in RNAcentral is "partial external transcribed spacer". Lineage: Eukaryota; Viridiplantae; Streptophyta; Magnoliopsida; Poales; Poaceae. The record is from RNAcentral.
GGCAAGCCCCAGCCAGCUAGUGGCAUGAAGCGGCAAGCACCGAGCCGACUGUCGUACAUUGAGAGAGCUUUCGUUAGGGACGCGACCGCAGCGGGGCACGAGCCUGUAUCAUUUGCAACAUCCGAAACCAAUAGCGUGAGCGAGGUGGCCUUGGAAGCGCNGGGCACGUAGGGCGCCGGCACCACGAGGCAACGCCGCUCAAACUAUUAGGCCGCAGCGGAACUCCCUUGGGGGUCCACAGCGAGGCAACCGUGUA